UACGUAGGCGGAAAAUUAAGUCAGUGGUGAAAUCCUGCAGCUUAACUGUAGAACUGUCAUUGAUACUGGUUUUCUUGAAUACAGUUGAGGUAGGCGGAAUGUGUAAUGUAGCGGUGAAAUGCUUAGAUAUUACACAGAACACCGAUUGCGAAGGCAGCUCACUAAACUAUCAUUGACGCUGAGGCACGAAAGCGUGGGGAGCGAACAGGAUUAGAUACCCUGGUAGUCC
This 229-nucleotide ribosomal RNA is filed under the name uncultured bacterium. RNAcentral's name for it is "partial 16S ribosomal RNA". It matches the Rfam family "Bacterial small subunit ribosomal RNA", at positions 568 to 796 of the family's 1533-position model. The record is from RNAcentral.